AUUAGAUUAAAAACCAAUGCCCUUCGGGGCUCUCUGGUGAUUCAUGAUAACUUCUCGAAUCGCAUGCCUUGCGCCGGCGAUGGUUCAUUCAAAUUUCUUCCCUAUCAACUUUCGAUGUUUGGGUAUUGGCCAAACAUGGUUGCAACGGGUAACGGAGGGUUAGGGCUCGACCCCGGAGAAGGAGCCUGAGAAACGGCUACUACAUCCAAGGAAGGCAGCAGGCGCGCAAAUUACCCAAUCCCGACUCGGGGAGGUAGUGACAAUAAAUACUGAUACAGGGUUCUUUCGGAUCUUGUAAUUGGAAUGAGUACAAUUUAAAUCCCUUAACGAGGAACAAUUGGAGGGCAAGUCUGGUGCCAGCAGCCGCGGUAAUUCCAGCUCCAAUAGCGUAUAUUAAAGUUGUUGUGGUUAAAAAGCUCGUAGUUGAACCUUGGGCCUGGCUGGCCGGUCCGCCUCACCGCGUGUACUGGUCCGGCCGGGCCUUUCCCUCUGUGGAACCCUAUGCCCUUCACUGGG
This 516-nucleotide ribosomal RNA is filed under the name uncultured fungus. Its description in RNAcentral is "SSU rRNA". It matches the Rfam family "Eukaryotic small subunit ribosomal RNA", at positions 209 to 726 of the family's 1831-position model. The record is from RNAcentral. Lineage: Eukaryota; Fungi.